RNAcentral lists this transfer RNA (85 nucleotides) under Oscillospiraceae bacterium. RNAcentral's name for it is "tRNA-Tyr". It matches the Rfam family "tRNA". Rfam says of the family: Transfer RNA (tRNA) molecules are approximately 80 nucleotides in length. Their secondary structure includes four short double-helical elements and three loops (D, anti-codon, and T loops). The record is from RNAcentral. Lineage: Bacteria; Bacillati; Bacillota; Clostridia; Eubacteriales; Oscillospiraceae.
GGGGGAAUUCCCGAGUGGCCAAAGGGGGCAGACUGUAAAUCUGUUGGCACCGCCUUCGGUGGUUCGAAUCCACCUUCCCCCACCA